Molecule: ribosomal RNA, 523 nt
Filed under: uncultured bacterium
Lineage: Bacteria
Description: bacterial SSU rRNA
Rfam family: Bacterial small subunit ribosomal RNA
Source: RNAcentral
UCCUGGCUCAGAACGAACGCUGGCGGCGUGGAUAAGACAUGCAAGUCGAACGAGAGAAUUGCUAGCUUGCUAAUAAUUCUCUAGUGGCGCACGGGUGAGUAACACGUGAGUAACCUGCCCCCGAGAGCGGGAUAGCCCUGGGAAACUGGGAUUAAUACCGCAUAGUAUCGAAAGAUUAAAGCAGCAAUGCGCUUGGGGAUGGGCUCGCGGCCUAUUAGUUAGUUGGUGAGGUAACGGCUCACCAAGGCGAUGACGGGUAGCCGGUCUGAGAGGAUGUCCGGCCACACUGGAACUGAGACACGGUCCAGACACCUACGGGUGGCAGCAGUCGAGAAUCAUUCACAAUGGGGGAAACCCUGAUGGUGCGACGCCGCGUGGGGGAAUGAAGGUCUUCGGAUUGUAAACCCCUGUCAUGUGGGAGCAAAUUAAAAAGAUAGUACCACAAGAGGAAGAGACGGCUAACUCUGUGCCAGCAGCCGCGGUAAUACAGAGGUCUCAAGCGUUGUUCGGAAUCACUGGGCGU